Molecule: long non-coding RNA, 287 nt
Filed under: Carica papaya (papaya)
Lineage: Eukaryota; Viridiplantae; Streptophyta; Magnoliopsida; Brassicales; Caricaceae
Description: long non-coding RNA (CPAP_LNC003613)
Source: RNAcentral
CAUGAAAUGCAUAGAUAUUUCGUGUCAUAUUUCAUGAAGUCGUUACAAACUUCCAUCUUUGAGGGCAGAUACAGAUUUUCAACUACUCAAAUGGAAUGACCAGAUCAAAUACAAAUACGAUAAUUUAAUCAGGCCAACUUUUGGCUGGCCAACCCAUAAGAGGAUUUAUGACCACAGUCGUACCAACCAUAGUGGCCAUAACAGAUAUCUAUAGUAAUGACAUUACUUAGGCACGAGUGACCCCUACAGAUAGUGCGAUAUCACUCUUAUUAGAGGGCACGCCGUCA